UGGUAUUCAAAUUCAUAGAUCCAAAUGGAUAUGAAGUCAUUAACUACUGCGCAAAGAUGGGCUAACACAAUAAUCAGUAAUUGAUGUUGCCUAACAGAAAUUAACUCAUAUGUUACCGAGUAUUUGACUCAUUUUAAACGAACAAAUAACAACACAUAUGGUCAAAUUAGAACCACUCAGUAAGCAAAUAAAUAGGCUGGAAUUAUGACACGGUAUCAAAACAGCUGAUCUUCAUUCAUCAAUUCAAUUAGAUGGCUUAAAAUGUGAAACAUACCUAGAGAUGAAUUCAGCAACAAGGAAUAACCAAAUAAAACUUAGAAGCAGAAGAUGAAGCUCAGUUAACAAUCCCCAGCAACAAUCGGCAGAGAAAAAAAAUACUUCCAACAGCCCAAAAGACCCUUUAACUUUCCAGAAAUACCAAAUGAAGGAGCAAGGCUUCGAAACAGCUUUCUUUUCCAGAUAACCUUGUUUUAAUGAAGGAGGUCUGUGAUGGAGCGGCUAGGGUGUGCUGUAUUUUUAUUUUGAGAAGGGGAGUCUGUUUGGAGAUGACGGAGGAAUAAGGGGCGGCUGCUUGGUUUUUUUUCCAGAAAA
Molecule: long non-coding RNA, 591 nt
Filed under: Nicotiana tabacum (common tobacco)
Lineage: Eukaryota; Viridiplantae; Streptophyta; Magnoliopsida; Solanales; Solanaceae
Description: long non-coding RNA (NTAB_LNC002240)
Source: RNAcentral